AACGAACGCUGGCGGCAUGCCUAACACAUGCAAGUCGAACGAGACCUUCGGGUCUAGUGGCGCACGGGUGCGUAACGCGUGGGAACCUGCCUUUAGGUUCGGAAUAACAGUGAGAAAUUACUGCUAAUACCGGAUAAUGUCUUCGGACCAAAGAUUUAUCGCCUUUAGAUGGGCCCGCGUAGGAUUAGCUAGUCGGUGGGGUAAAGGCCUACCAAGGCGACGAUCCUUAGCUGGUCUGAGAGGAUGAUCAGCCACACUGGGACUGAGACACGGCCCAGACUCCUACGGGAGGCAGCAGUGGGGAAUAUUGGACAAUGGGCGAAAGCCUGAUCCAGCAAUGCCGCGUGAGUGAUGAAGGCCUUAGGGUUGUAAAGCUCUUUUACCAGGGAUGAUAAUGACAGUACCUGGAGAAUAAGCUCCGGCUAACUCCGUGCCAGCCGCCGCAGUAA
Molecule: ribosomal RNA, 449 nt
Filed under: uncultured bacterium
Lineage: Bacteria
Description: partial 16S ribosomal RNA
Rfam family: Bacterial small subunit ribosomal RNA
Source: RNAcentral